GAUGAACGCGGCGGCGCGCCUAACACAUGCAAGUCGAACGAUUAAAGCACCUUCGGGUGUGUAUAAAGUGGCGAACGGCUGAGUAACACGUGGGCAACCUGCCCCUUUCAUUGGGAUAGCCACGGGAAACCGUGGAUAAUACCGAAUACUUCGAGACUUCCGCAUGGAAGACUCGAGAAAGCUCCGGCGGAGAGGGAUGGGCCCGCGGCCUGUUAGCUUGUUGGUGGGGUAACGGCCUACCAAGGCAAUGAUGGGUAGCUGGGUUGAGAGACCGACCAGCCAGAUUGGGACUGAGACACGGCCCAGACUCCUACGGGAGGCAGCAGUGGGGAAUCUUGCACAAUGGGCGAAAGCCUGAUGCAGCGACGCCGCGUGCGGGAUGAAGGCCUUCGGGUUGUAAACCGCUUUCAGCAGGGACGAGGCGAAAGU
This 429-nucleotide ribosomal RNA is filed under the name Lancefieldella parvula. RNAcentral describes it as "bacterial SSU rRNA". It matches the Rfam family "Bacterial small subunit ribosomal RNA", at positions 28 to 457 of the family's 1533-position model. Lineage: Bacteria; Bacillati; Actinomycetota; Coriobacteriia; Coriobacteriales; Atopobiaceae. The record is from RNAcentral.